CCUACGGGCGGCAGCAGUGGGGAAUAUUGGGCAAUGGAGGCAACUCUGACCCAGCAACGCCGCGUGAAUGAUGAAGGUCUUCGGAUUGUAAAGUUCUGUGAUGGGGGAUGAACACAAUGACGGUACCCCAAUAGCAAGCCACGGCUAACUACGUGCCAGCAGCCGCGGUAAUACGUAGGUGGCAAGCGUUAUCCGGAAUGACUGGGCGUAAAGGGUGCGUAGGUGGUUUAGUAAGAUAGUGGUGAAAUCCCAGGGCUUAACUUUGGAAUUGCCAUUAUAACUAUUAGACUAGAAUUACAGAGAGGAUAGUGGAAUACCCAGUGUAGAGGUGAAAUUCGUAGAUAUUGGGUAGAACACCAGUGGCGAAGGCGACUAUCUGGCUGUACAUUGACGCUGAGGCUCGAAAGCAUGGGGAUCAAACAGGAUUAGAUACCCUAGUAGUC
Molecule: ribosomal RNA, 443 nt
Filed under: uncultured bacterium
Lineage: Bacteria
Description: partial 16S ribosomal RNA
Rfam family: Bacterial small subunit ribosomal RNA
Source: RNAcentral